GACGAACGCUGGCGGCGUGCUUAACACAUGCAAGUCGAACGGAAAGGCCCUGCUUUUGUGGGGUGCUCGAGUGGCUAACGGGUGAGUAACACGUGAGUAACCUGCCCUUGACUUUGGGAUAACUUCAGGAAACUGGGGCUAAUACCGGAUAGUAGCUCCUGCUGCAUGGUGGGGGUUGGAAAGUUUCGGCGGUUGGGGAUGGACUCGCGGCUUAUCAGCUUGUUGGUGGGGUAGUGGCUUACCAAGGCUUUGACGGGUAGCCGGCCUGAGAGGGUGACCGGCCACAUUGGGACUGAGAUACGGCCCAGACUCCUACGGGAGGCAGCAGUGGGGAAUAUUGCACAAUGGGCGGAAGCCUGAUGCAGCAACGCCGCGUGCGGGAUGACGGCCUUCGGGUUGUAAACCGCUUUCGCCUGUGACGAAGCGUGAGUGACGGUAAUGGGUAAAGAAGCACCGGCUAACUACGUG
This 468-nucleotide ribosomal RNA is filed under the name uncultured bacterium. Its description in RNAcentral is "partial 16S ribosomal RNA". It matches the Rfam family "Bacterial small subunit ribosomal RNA", at positions 28 to 507 of the family's 1533-position model. The record is from RNAcentral.